Molecule: ribosomal RNA, 507 nt
Filed under: uncultured bacterium
Lineage: Bacteria
Description: partial 16S ribosomal RNA
Rfam family: Bacterial small subunit ribosomal RNA
Source: RNAcentral
AUUGAACGCUGGCGGCAUGCCUUACACAUGCAAGUCGAACGGCAGCGGGGGAGAAGCUUGCUUUUCCUGCCGGCGAGUGGCGAACGGGUGAGUAAUACAUCGGAACGUGCCCUGUAGUGGGGGAUAACUAGUCGAAAGAUUAGCUAAUACCGCAUACGACCUGAGGGUGAAAGUGGGGGACCGCAAGGCCUCAUGCUAUAGGAGCGGCCGAUGUCUGAUUAGCUAGUUGGUGGGUAAAGGCCUACCAAGGCGACGAUCAGUAGCUGGUCUGAGAGGACGAUCAGCCACACUGGGAAUGAGACACGGCCCAGACUCCUACGGGAGGAAGCAGUGGGGAAUUUUGGACAAUGGGCGAAAGCCUGAUCCAGCAAUGCCGCGUGUGUGAAGAAGGCCUUCGGGUUGUAAAGCACUUUUGUCCGGAAAGAAAUGGCUCUGGUUAAUACCUGGGGUCGAUGACGGUACCGGAAGAAUAAGGACCGGCUAACUACGUGCCAGCCGCCGCGGUAA